This 246-nucleotide unclassified non-coding RNA is filed under the name Rozellomycota sp. Its description in RNAcentral is "Cryptomycota sp. partial contains small subunit ribosomal RNA, internal transcribed spacer 1, and 5.8S ribosomal RNA". The stretch from base 1 to 47 matches the Rfam family "Eukaryotic small subunit ribosomal RNA", at positions 1785 to 1831 of the family's 1831-position model. Lineage: Eukaryota; Fungi; Rozellomycota. The record is from RNAcentral.
AAAGUCGUAACAAGGUUUCCGUAGGUGAACCUGCGGAAGGAUCAUUAAAAAUCUUGUGGUUGGGUGGUGGUGGGGUGUGGGGUAGGUGGGUGUGGCUGUAGUAGCUACGACCCAACUAGCCCAUAGCCCAUAGCCCACAACACAUAUGCACAAGGCCGCAAGGCCUUGAUGUUUACGCUUGUUUGUUUGACAGAUUUAUUUGUGCCAAAAUAUAUACAACUUUUAACAAUGGAUCUCUUGGCUCUU